Molecule: long non-coding RNA, 533 nt
Filed under: Apteryx owenii (little spotted kiwi)
Lineage: Eukaryota; Metazoa; Chordata; Aves; Apterygiformes; Apterygidae
Description: lncRNA (ENSAOWG00000013292.1)
Source: RNAcentral
UAGGGCCUCCCGUCCGCGCAGCGCCGCGGCGGAUGGCGAGAUGUGAGGCGGCGGUGUGACCCCGGGGCGGGAAGGCCGGGUCAUGCUCCCGUCGUUUUUGCCUCGAAUAAACUCGACAAACUAAGUGGCAGGAGAGCGCCAGUUCAGUAGCAGUUUAUAUCCUCCUGUGAAUGCAACUGCUUCUUCUGAAUACCUCAAAUUUCGCGUGAACACCUCUAUCAGUGUGGUCUUGUGAGUAAAGAAAGUAAAGAAAAUCGAGACAUAUUCAGAAUUUAACAAGAGCAGCGUUAGCCUGGAAGAACUGCUUAGAAUUGCAGGAGCCCUAUCCACCAAGGGACAGCACAGCUAUAUAGGCAGAAGGUGGAGGUUGAGAUACAGUUUUUAAAAACAUGGAAAGAAAAGACUGAACUUCUUGUUAUUUCAGUUUGGCACAGUAGAUGGAGCUACAAACUGGCAAUCGAUCUUCAGCUAAAACUAGUUAGAAUUGAGGGCCCUUAAGGACAAAUUCUUACUCUUCCCAAAAUCUUGGAAAG